UCGGGAUAAAAUUAAAAGUUUCGAAUAUUAUAUUAUUCAAUCAGUUUCCUGAUCCCUGAUCCUAACCCAAUCCGAUACAAAUAAAACUAAAAGCAAUAUGAGAAGCUUGACGUUAAGUACUGUGUGAUUGUGAGAAAUCGAAUAUUGUGAGUAAAUCGAAAAAAAUCGAAGACAAAAUUGUGAGAAACAGAGGUAAAAAUGCCCAUUUGCCUUAACACUCCUCCAUUCACUCACAAUUCAUCACAUUCAUCUAUGCCAUAACUAUGCCAUUCACACAUCUAUGCCUAACAUUCAUCUAUAAUCUAUGCCCCUAACAUUCAUUUAUAAAUCUCUAUGCCUAACAUUCAUCUAUAUACAUAACAUGCCUUAACACAUUCAUCUAGAUCUAUGCCCCUAAGCCCUAACAUUCAUCUAUACAUAUAUAUAUCCUAACAUUCAUCUAUGCCUUUCACUCAUCUAUGCCUAAACAUUCAUCUAUAUAUACACCCUUAACAAAUUCAUCUAUAUAUAAGACCCCUAAUUCAUCUAUAACAUCUAUGUGAUAUAUGCCUAACAUUCACCCCCUAAUGUCUUUUAUCAGGAAAGAAAAUAUAAAUUAUUAUUGCUAACAUGCUAGGUAACUUUUCAACAAAGCCCGGGGAAGAAGGCUUGAUUACGAACGCCACACAGUCCCAGUCCCAACUCCCUACCAAGGAUUUUUGGUUUCCCAUGCUCUCUGCAAAAUUAAUUAACCAAAAAAUCAAUAUACUACAAUCGUUUUUUCAUUUGUCAAAGAGGAAUUUGGAGGACGAGAGAGUGAGGAGUAAAAAAACAUUUUGUUAAAGUGAAAAAUAUCCGUCAAAAAAGUACAUGCAUAUUUUACAUAAACUUGAAAGCAAUUUAGAAAGUCAAAACAAACUUUCAUUCUUUCUAAUAAAAAAUAAAAAUAAAAGACCUCAUUCUAUGUUAUCUUAAGACACAAUAUCUAAACUAAAAAUUCAAAGGGAUAAUAAAAAACAGUUAUGUGAGAAAGAAAUACGGCUAAGAAAGUUAAUAUAUUAAAAAGAGUUUCAGUUCAGUGUUAUGGCUAAAAAGUCAUUUUAUUGUCGACAUCGUUAAGUUUUAGCCAGCAUACAUACAAAAUAGAUUUUAAAACAGAGCAUUUAUAUUUUUAACAUUCAACUCUAUAAAGAAUGAUUAAAAGAGAAGAGCAGGAGCUAAACAGACUAAGAACCAUUUUUAAUUGCAAACAAGCUAGAGGAAUAAGACCAAGAAUAUAUUUAUUACCUUGUAAGAAGAGAUGAUGAUGCUUCAAAUUUUGUUUUUCUCUCGGCUAACGAUGCUUCAUAGUUUGAGUGAAAGGAGGACUCAAGUGGAAGAACAGAAGAAGUGAAAGAGAGAAGAGAUAAAAACAAAAAAAAUGGAUUGUAAUAAUAUAUGACACCAAAGUAAAGAGGAUUCGGAUUUCUUCUAAGUUCUAACGCAAAGGAAGGAGUAAGUAUGCA
Molecule: long non-coding RNA, 1484 nt
Filed under: Capsella rubella
Lineage: Eukaryota; Viridiplantae; Streptophyta; Magnoliopsida; Brassicales; Brassicaceae
Description: long non-coding RNA (CRUB_LNC003450)
Source: RNAcentral